Molecule: ribosomal RNA, 428 nt
Filed under: uncultured bacterium
Lineage: Bacteria
Description: partial 16S ribosomal RNA
Rfam family: Bacterial small subunit ribosomal RNA
Source: RNAcentral
GUGGGGAAUAUUGGGCAAUGGGGGAAACCCUGACCCAGCAACGCCGCGUGAGGGAAGAAGGUUUUCGGAUUGUAAACCUCUGUCCUUGGUGACGAAGGAAGUGACGGUAACCAAGGAGGAAGCCCCGGCUAACUACGUGCCAGCAGCCGCGGUAAUACGUAGGGGGCAAGCGUUGUCCGGAAUGACUGGGCGUAAAGGGCGUGUAGGCGGCCGAUUAAGUCUGGAGUGAAAGUCCUGCUUUCAAGGUGGGAAUUGCUUUGGAGACUGGUUGGCUUGAGUGCGGAAGAAGUAAGUGGAAUUCCCAGUGUAGCGGUGAAAUGCGUAGAGAUUGGGAGGAACACCAGUGGCGAAGGCGACUUACUGGGCCGUAACUGACGCUGAGGCGCGAAAGCGUGGGGAGCGAACAGGAUUAGAAACCCUUGUAAUCC